AGUCCGCUGGCUCAAACGCCAUUACAAGAUGGCGCUGGUUUCCUGUUUAUCCCGAAUGCUAACGUGUCGCUCUCCCGCCCGAUAGUACUGACCAAUCAGCUUACCGCCCAAGCUCCGCCCCCAGAACCUGCAUAUAAGCCAGCUUGCCCCGGCGCCCGGGGCCCUCCUCCCGUACCAGCUCUCCCGAGAAGCCAUAACCGAGCAGCGUUCAAUAAAACCGUGAUAGAGGAAGAAUCUUGGAGUCGUGUCUUGCUUCCCCGCUGGUCGGGGCGCGCCGCAACUGGUGCCGAAACCCGGGAAACUUCGGACCUUGCGAACGACUCGGAGGAGGGCCGAAGAUUCAGAACCUCACACGGGAACGAAUGCAAGAGACCCGAUUUGGGUGCCGACAAGACUAACACGAGGGGUACAACAACAUGAGGAAGAUGGAGAAGAUGAUGCUGACCUUCCUGACGAUCAGCCUCUCCCUGAAUCUGGCCUGGACUCAGGAUGACAUAUUCUGGGCUUUCCUUCGAGCCUGGCCUGUGCCCGCUCCUGUGUUUUUAACGGAUACUCUCUUUCCACAAUUUCAUUCCACCAUCUGCAGGCUGGAGGAUGAAGUUUGUUAUCCUACCACCUAUCAAACUUCAAGCUAUAAUAGCACUGAUUUUAUUUUCCAGUUCAAAAACAGUGCUUAAACAGUAAACCUUUUAAACCAGCCAAGAAUAAGUUAGGAUCCCUGUUUCAGGCAUAUAACAACAAAAGUCUGGCAGGGUACCCCUGGGAUAUGAGAGAGAAUUUGAAAUGUUACAAUUGAAUUUCACCGCCUCUAUUGCUGCCCUAAAUCAGACGCGUGCUCAUUUGACCACCUUGGGAGAAUUUACUGAUUUUUUGGUCA
Peromyscus eremicus (cactus mouse) is the source of this 877-nucleotide long non-coding RNA. RefSeq lists it as uncharacterized. The transcript has 2 exons. The record is from RefSeq and is a predicted model, not a curated record. NCBI's taxonomy places the organism in Eukaryota, Metazoa, Chordata, Mammalia, Rodentia, Cricetidae.